CCUUGUCAUUCUUCAGGCCCUG
This 22-nucleotide microRNA is filed under the name Bombyx mori (domestic silkworm). RNAcentral's name for it is "bmo-miR-184-5p". Its record names the gene bmo-miR-184-5p. Lineage: Eukaryota; Metazoa; Arthropoda; Insecta; Lepidoptera; Bombycidae. The record is from miRBase by way of RNAcentral.